RNAcentral lists this ribosomal RNA (305 nucleotides) under uncultured bacterium. Its description in RNAcentral is "bacterial SSU rRNA". It matches the Rfam family "Bacterial small subunit ribosomal RNA", at positions 333 to 631 of the family's 1533-position model. The record is from RNAcentral.
ACGUACCUACGGGGCGCAGCAGUAGGGAAUUUUCGUCAAUGGGCGCAAGCCUGAACGAGCAAUGCCGCGUGAACGAGGAAGGUCUUCGGAUCGUAAAGUUCUGUUGAAGGGGAAAAAGAGCGGAGAGAGGAAAUGGUCUCCGAUUGAUUUUACCCUUCGCGGAAGUCACGGCUAACUACGUGCCAGCAGCCGCGGUAAUACGUAGGUGGCGAGCGUUAUCCGGAAUGAUUGGGCGUAAAGGGUACGUAGGCGGCCUGCUAAGUCUGGAGUGAAAGGUACCGGCUCAACCGGUACCGGCCCUGGAA